CACCUGAUAGCACACGGUGUGCACCUGCCCUUACUUCCUGUGAACUCUUGUGAGAAUAUCUGUGGCAGGAGGUCCCCGUUCGACUCGGGGUCGGGUGA
This is a non-coding RNA of Mycena metata, 98 nucleotides long. The record is from the annotation of a GenBank genome assembly. Lineage: Eukaryota; Fungi; Basidiomycota; Agaricomycetes; Agaricales; Mycenaceae.